AGUAACACGUCGGUAACCUACCCUCGGGAGGGGGAUAACCCCGGGAAACUGGGGCUAAUCCCCCAUAGGCCUGAGGUACUGGAAGGUCCUCAGGCCGAAAGGGGCUCUGCCCGCCCGAGGAUGGGCCGGCGGCCGAUUAGGUAGUUGGUGGGGUAACGGCCCACCAAGCCGAAGAUCGGUACGGGCCAUGAGAGUGGGAGCCCGGAGAUGGACACUGAGACACGGGUCCAGGCCCUACGGGGCGCAGCAGGCGCGAAACCUCCGCAAUGCGGGCAACCGCGACGGGGGGACCCCCAGUGCCGUGGCAUCGCCACGGCUUUUCCGGAGUGUAAAAAGCUCCGGGAAUAAGGGCUGGGCAAGGCCGGUGGCAGCCGCCGCGGUAAUACCGGCGGCCCGAGUGGUGGCCGCUAUUAUUGGGCCUAAAGCG
Molecule: ribosomal RNA, 427 nt
Filed under: Thermococcus sp. MZ10
Lineage: Archaea; Methanobacteriati; Methanobacteriota; Thermococci; Thermococcales; Thermococcaceae
Description: bacterial SSU rRNA
Rfam family: Archaeal small subunit ribosomal RNA
Source: RNAcentral